Molecule: long non-coding RNA, 1695 nt
Organism: Corapipo altera (White-ruffed manakin)
Lineage: Eukaryota; Metazoa; Chordata; Aves; Passeriformes; Pipridae
Exons: 6
Source: RefSeq, a predicted model, not a curated record
AGCUUGCGCUGACCCUGGAGCCCACCCGCCCGCCGUGAAUAAAUCCACGAGUAAAAAUCUUGGGCUUUCAACGCCGCCCGCCAGGCAGCACUAAUGGCGGUUUUGUAGCCCUGAGAAGGUUGAUUUUGGACUUGUGUUGUAACCUAAUUUCUUUCUCCUUUUGUUCCUGGCUGGAGAGCCUGUGUGAUCUCUGGACCUAGUUCAUCAUUUUGCCUUCUCUGUGACUAUUGGAGGGCCCUGUUACCAGACUACCAACUUUCCAUAGUGGACAAAUAACGAACGCCGAAAAACAGUGAAAUCAUCAAGGCUGAGGCUCAUCCCUCAGAAGGAUACUGGGAGGAAUGUGAAUGUCAGAGAACAGCAUGACAAGCCAUAACAAUCACAAGACCAAAUGUGUAGCCUCUGUGAUGCAAAUUAUAUUUAACCAGCUCUGGGGACUGAAUAUGGAUUGGUGCUUUGCAAAAAGACCUGAAGUCUGUGGUAGUCUUGAAAGACGUUGACUUAUGUCUUCUCUUACUAAGAAAGAGAUUACUACCAUUCUGGAUAGCAUUAUUGUUCCAAGCAUGUGGUAAGGUUUUUUUGAUUAUUUAUGAAAAGGAUACAUUGAGGAUGAAGUAAUAACCUAUACUGGGAAUGAACUAGCAACUACUGUAAUCACUGAACAAUUUUAAUCCUCCCUUUCACAACCAUCAGAUAUGUUUUAUAAUUUUUCAAAUUCAUAUUCGAUAUACUAUCUUUUUCUUACAAUGCCUGUGAUGCUAACCAGUAUUCUCCUGUUGCAGUGGGCUUGGACCCUAGCAGGCUGUAAUUGUGGUCAAGAUUAGACAACCCAUGUUAGACACAGAGCACCUGAAUGAACACAGACCUAAGCUGCAAAUGCUAGAACAGAUCAGUGAAGAAUCAACCAAGAAUUUUCUUGACCAAGUUUUUGAAAGGAUAAACUACUAAAUAUAUAUUAUCUAUGCUGUAAGCAAAAUCUAAUUUCUGCUUUGCACAGACUGUUUUGUGAUGUCUUAAAAGAAGAAAGUCCUCAGCUCUAACUCCUGGUGCACAGCUGGACUCAAACUUCCUUAAAAGCGAAUGUGAGAUCUUUGUUUCAGCUUUGACCAGCAGAUGGGUCUGAGUUUACAAAGUUAAGUCAGUUUGGAUUCCAUAUUGUUAUUUGGUUUCAUUACUCUAUUGCUAAUUAUAAUCAAUUAUAAAUAGGAGCUUUCUAGGACUUGAUUUAGAUCUACAGGUUUGGGGGUUUCUUUCCACAUUGUUUUUCUUAGUGAAGAUGGUAAAAGCAUGCUAGUUUUUCUCAUUCCACUUCUUCACUGAAGCUUCUUAAGAAAAUGAGAUACAAUAAAUCCAUUUAGGAUUAUGUUGAAAAAGCAUUUCUGCUUUUAAUAUUAACCAGAUUUUUACUGCUAAGUUUUGCUGGCAAAUCUCUGAAAGUUUCAGCUUGCAACUUAUCCGGAUCACUUAAAUCUACAACACUGGCUUUGCAGCCUUGCAAGAACAUCUGUUUUGAUUUCCAAUGCUAUCUUUUUUAGUCCUAGAACACUCUUCUUUAGUGUGAGAUUUUUUCAGAAUCUUAAAGGGCCUUAGUUUUAACUCCAAAACAUAAUGAAUAUCAGGAGGAAGUACCUCAGUGUAGUGUUUCAUGUGCUAGUACUUUCACUGAAUAUAUUGUGUAAAUGGACAAAGAAAUAG